This 800-nucleotide ribosomal RNA is filed under the name uncultured Pelagibacteraceae bacterium. RNAcentral's name for it is "bacterial SSU rRNA". It matches the Rfam family "Bacterial small subunit ribosomal RNA", at positions 35 to 883 of the family's 1533-position model. Lineage: Bacteria; Pseudomonadati; Pseudomonadota; Alphaproteobacteria; Candidatus Pelagibacterales; Candidatus Pelagibacteraceae. The record is from RNAcentral.
GCUGGCGGCACGCCUAACACAUGCAAGUCGAACGAAGUAGCAAUACUUAGUGGCGAACGGGUGAGUAUAAUGUGGGUAUCUGCCUUUUGGUUUGGAAUAACACGGGGAAACUUGUGCUAAUACCGUAUAAGCCUUUACAGGGAAAGCUUUAGCGCCAAAAGAUGAGCCCGCACUUGAUUAGCUAGUUGGUAAGGUAAUGGCUUACCAAGGCUACGAUCAAUAGCUGAUCUGAGAGGAUGAUCAGCCACAUUGGGACUGAGACACGGCCCAAACUCCUACGGGAGGCAGCAGUGGGGAAUCUUGCACAAUGGGGGAAACCCUGAUGCAGCGAUGCCGCGUGAGUGAAGAAGGCCCUUGGGUUGUAAAGCUCUUUCGUCGGGGAAGAAAAUGACUGUACCCGAAUAAGAAGGUCCGGCUAACUUCGUGCCAGCAGCCGCGGUAAUACGAAGGGACCUAGCGUAGUUCGGAAUUACUGGGCUUAAAGAGCACGUAGGUGGUUAGAAAAGUUGGUGGUGAAAUCCCAAGGCUUAACCUUGGAACUGCCAUCAAAACUUUUUAACUAGAGUAUGAUAGAGGUAAGUGGAAUUUCUAGUGUAGAGGUGAAAUUCGUAGAUAUUAGAAAGAACACCAAUUGCGAAGGCAACUUUCUGGAUCAUUACUGACACUGAGGUGCGAAAGCAUGGGUAGCGAAGAGGAUUAGAUACCCUCGUAGUCCAUGCUGUAAACGAUGUGUGCUAGACGUUGGAAAUUUAUUUUUCAGUGUCGCAGCAAAAGCGUUAAGCACACCGCCUGGGGAGUAC